Molecule: non-coding RNA, 89 nt
Organism: Peniophora sp. CONT
Lineage: Eukaryota; Fungi; Basidiomycota; Agaricomycetes; Russulales; Peniophoraceae
Source: Rfam
GGCUCAAUGGUCUAGUCGCAUGAUUCCUGCUUUGGGUGGUUCAUCCAAUCGAUUGCAGGAGGUCCCGGGUUCAAUUCCCGGUUGAGCCC